UACGUAGGGUGCAAGCGUUGUCCGGAAUUAUUGGGCGUAAAGAGCUCGUAGGCGGUUCGUCGCGUCGGCUGUGAAAUCCCGAGGCUCAACCUCGGGUCUGCAGUCGAUACGGGCGGACUGGAGUACUGCAGGGGAGACUGGAAUUCCUGGUGUAGCGGUGAAAUGCGCAGAUAUCAGGAGGAACACCGGUGGCGAAGGCGGGUCUCUGGGCCGUAACUGACGCUGAGGAGCGAAAGCAUGGGGAGCGAACAGG
RNAcentral lists this ribosomal RNA (253 nucleotides) under uncultured bacterium. RNAcentral describes it as "partial 16S ribosomal RNA". It matches the Rfam family "Bacterial small subunit ribosomal RNA", at positions 524 to 776 of the family's 1533-position model. The record is from RNAcentral.